RNAcentral lists this ribosomal RNA (373 nucleotides) under uncultured organism. RNAcentral describes it as "bacterial SSU rRNA". It matches the Rfam family "Bacterial small subunit ribosomal RNA", at positions 526 to 896 of the family's 1533-position model. The record is from RNAcentral.
CGUAGGGUGCAAGCGUUAAUCGGAAUUACUGGGCGUAAAGCGUGCGCAGGCGGUUAUGCAAGACAGAGGUGAAAUCCCCGGGCUCAAUCUGGGAACUGCCUUUGUGACUGCAUAGCUAGAGUACGGUAGAGGGGGAUGGAAUUCCGCGUGUAGCAGUGAAAUGCGUAGAUAUGCGGAGGAACACCGAUGGCGAAGGCAAUCCCCUGGGCCUGUACUGACGCUCAUGCACGAAAGCGUGGGGAGCGAACGGGAUUAGAUACCCCGGUAGUCCUGGCCUUAAACGAUGGAUGCUUGGUGUCUGGAGUUUUAUAGUCUCCGGGUGCCGUAGCUAACGCGUUAAGCAUCCCGCCUGGGGAGUACGGUCGCAAGACUG